Molecule: ribosomal RNA, 413 nt
Filed under: uncultured prokaryote
Description: bacterial SSU rRNA
Rfam family: Bacterial small subunit ribosomal RNA
Source: RNAcentral
GUGCCAGCAGCCGCGGUAAUACGUAUGGGGCGAGCGUUGUUCGGAGUUAUUGGGCGUAAAGGGCGUGUAGGCGGCCCGAGAAGUCUGGUGUGAAAUCGCAGGGCUCAACCCUGCGGGUGCGCUGGAAACUGACGGGCUUGAGUCCCGGGGGGGAAGCUGGAAUUCCUGGUGUAGGAGUGAAAUCUGUAGAGAUCAGGAAGAACACCGGUGGCGAAGGCGAGCUUCUAUUCGAGGACUGACGCUGAGGCGCGAAAGCGUGGGGAGCAAACAGGAUUAGAUACCCUGGUAGUCCACGCUGUAAACGAUGUGCACUAGGCGUGGGGCACGUCGGUGCUCUGUGCCGUAGCUAACGCGAUAAGUGCACCGCCUGGGGAGUAUGCUCGCAAGGGUGAAACUUAAAUGAAUUGACGGGG